Molecule: ribosomal RNA, 506 nt
Filed under: uncultured bacterium
Lineage: Bacteria
Description: partial 16S ribosomal RNA
Rfam family: Bacterial small subunit ribosomal RNA
Source: RNAcentral
AUUGAACGCUGGCGGCAUGCUUUACACAUGCAAGUCGAACGGUAACAGAGAAAAGCUUGCUUUUCUGCUGACGAGUGGCGAACGGGUGAGUAAUACAUCGGAACGUACCCUGUAGUGGGGGAUAACUACUCGAAAGAGUAGCUAAUACCGCAUACAACCUGAGGGUAAAAGUGGGGGACCGCAAGGCCUCACGCUAUAGGAGCGGCCGAUGGAAGAUUAGGUAGUUGGUAGGGUAAAGGCCUACCAAGCCGACGAUCUUUAGCGGGGCUGAGAGGACGAUCCGCCACACUGGGACUGAGACACGGCCCAGACUCCUACGGGAGGCAGCAGUGGGGAAUUUUGGACAAUGGGCGAAAGCCUGAUCCAGCAAUGCCGCGUGAGUGAAGAAGGCCUUCGGGUUGUAAAGCUCUUUUGUUUGGGAAGAAAUCCCUAAGGAUAACACCCUUGGGGGAUGACGGUACCAAAAGAAUAAGCACCGGCUAACUACGUGCCAGCAGCCGCGGUAA